UACGAAGGGGGCUAGCGUUGUUCGGAGUUACUGGGCGUAAAGGGCGCGUAGGCGGCUGUCCAAGUCAGGUGUGAAAGCCCGGGGCUCAACCCCGGAAAUGCACUUGAGACUGGGCGGCUUGAGGACGGGAGAGGAUAGUGGAAUUCCCAGUGUAGAGGUGAAAUUCGUAGAUAUCGGGAGGAACACCGGUGGCGAAGGCGGCGAUCUGGGUAGAUACUGACGCUGAGGUGCGAAAGCGUGGGGAGCAAACAGG
This 253-nucleotide ribosomal RNA is filed under the name uncultured prokaryote. Its description in RNAcentral is "partial 16S ribosomal RNA". It matches the Rfam family "Bacterial small subunit ribosomal RNA", at positions 524 to 776 of the family's 1533-position model. The record is from RNAcentral.